Austrofundulus limnaeus is the source of this 1029-nucleotide long non-coding RNA. RefSeq lists it as uncharacterized. The record is from RefSeq and is a predicted model, not a curated record. NCBI's taxonomy places the organism in Eukaryota, Metazoa, Chordata, Actinopteri, Cyprinodontiformes, Rivulidae. The transcript has 3 exons.
ACCUAAGUUUGAUUAUAACAACAGCUUAGCGACUUGGAGCUAACAGUUGAUGUGGGAUCUAGUAAAGACCUUGUUGUGGAUACUGGAGUUACACAAACAAAUUAUUGGUUGACGUUUGUCAGAAAUGCUGCCAAUCAAGCAAAAUUGUCAAAUUGUGUGGUUUGUGCAGAGGCACGACCAGCAUUAACAGUCCCAUCACCCUUGAGUAAUGUGUCAACUUUUUUCUGUAUGUUCCAAUUACAUAUUAAUGAGAACCCAUCAGUUAAGUGUAAAUAUUUAGAACAUUUCUUUCCUAUGUCUUCAAGAACAGAUGCCCCUCCUGUCUUCAAGGCGGUGGAGGGCAAUUACACUUGUUUGUCCAGGAGGGGGAGGCAGAGAAGCGUGGAUGUUGGACGGCUGAAUAUGACAUGGUGCAAACAGGUGAUUGAUGUAUCCUUGUGGGAUAAUGCAACAACGUUAAAUGUGUAUAGGGCAGAUAUAUUUUGGUACUGUGGCAAUAAUCGUUUGUUAAAAGUGUUACCAGCAGGUUGGAGUGAGCUGUGUGUGGAAGUGUCCCUCGUCACGCCAGUCAGACUGUACCUGGCUGCAAUGCAUUUCAAUGAAAAUGCACGUCUGCAGAUUAUUCUUUCACAAGUUCAAGAAGGGAGAAGCCUAUCAGACCUCCUGAAACCCUAAACUGUGCUGUGGAUUCAUCUCCAGUUGUCACAGACAAGGCCAGCAUCUCCACACCACCUCCUGAGGCUCGCGUCUUCACUACACGUCCUGAUGCACACUUCUUCACUCCACGCCCUGAUGCACGCAUCUUCACUACACGUCCUGAUGCCACAUCUUCACUACACGUCCUGAUGCCACAUCUUCACACCACCCUCUGCACCACAUCUGAACUCAGUCCACACCCAGUGGGAGGACUUUUCACAACAGGAUCACACAUACUUCCACACAUCUCGCAGAAAGGACGUGCAGGACAAGAUGACAGUGUGACGAGGUUGCAUAUUUGUGACCCAUGAUAUCAAAAUGAGGAUUAAGUCG